Long non-coding RNA from Eucalyptus grandis, 1011 nucleotides. RefSeq lists it as uncharacterized. NCBI's taxonomy places the organism in Eukaryota, Viridiplantae, Streptophyta, Magnoliopsida, Myrtales, Myrtaceae. The transcript has 2 exons. The record is from RefSeq and is a predicted model, not a curated record.
UGCGUUGUCCAGCCUGAAGAUCGCAAAGUUUGAAGCCACCAGCCUGCUUUCAUUUUUCUCUCUUGCAACCCAUCCCCAGCGUCAACUUCGAUUCCCCCUCCACGCUGCCACUUGGCUGCGUCUGCACCUUGGCCGGUCAACAAAACAGCGCCCCUCCACCAGCGUUGAUUUCGCUGACUGCCCAGCAUCCACCGAACUCCAUCUAGCUGCCCCUGCUCCGCCGAAUUGCCAGCAGCACCGCUCGAAGAAGUCCACGCCUCCACCGAGUUCUUCAACCGCUGCCACGUCCGAGCUUCUCCAAGCUCGGUCAACCAAAGAAACGUUUCCCCAGCCGUGUUGACUCUCGCUGCCGCUGCCACCCACGUCCGAAGCUGCUUCUCUUCCUCGACGCAAUUCGCUGCAGUGAAGUUCGGCCCAGCAGUGGGCCAUUAGAAGCCCACGAAGAUUUGCAGCAGUCAAGCCCGAGCCCAUCAGUCCAGCAAGUCCAUGAGCCCAGCAAGCAGCCCAUAGUUCAGCAUCUUCAAGCCCAGCUCUCCACAAGCCCAGUUCGCAGCAGCCCAAGCCCAGUGUUCAGCCCAUCUUGAAGCCCAUCUUCAGCAGGCCCAACCCAACUUGGGUCCAGUUGGGCUGAGAUUUGUUGGGCCCAUUUUAGGCCUGACCCGAGAGUUCGUCGUCGCUGCCGAAAUUUUGGAAUUCGGCCGUCGUCACAGUGUCCCGGUCUUCACUUUGCGCAAACCCGUAGAUGAGCCUGAGGAGGAGGAACCAGAAGAUGACGAUGAGCCAGAAAAGGAUGAAGAGCUUGAAGGAAACAAGCUUAGUGAAGAAGAGUCAGAAGAGGAUUAGGAUGAUCUUGAGUACGACCUGGAUGAAAACUGAGAUGAAUCUUGUUUUGAUGUGAUUAGAGUGAAAUUAUAAAGUCGUGAAUAGUUUGUGAAAUACUUUGAGAUAUGCUCUGUAUAAAAGUAUGGUUGUGAAUUUCAAUAUGAAAAAUAUGGUAUUGAUUUUCUAUCC